RNAcentral lists this ribosomal RNA (660 nucleotides) under Staphylococcus pseudintermedius. RNAcentral's name for it is "partial 23S ribosomal RNA". It matches the Rfam family "Bacterial large subunit ribosomal RNA", at positions 407 to 1068 of the family's 2925-position model. The record is from RNAcentral. Lineage: Bacteria; Bacillati; Bacillota; Bacilli; Caryophanales; Staphylococcaceae.
CCUGAGUACGACGGAGCACGUGAAAUUCCGUCGGAAUCUGGGAGGACCAUCUCCUAAGGCUAAAUACUCUCUAGUGACCGAUAGUGAACCAGUACCGUGAGGGAAAGGUGAAAAGUACCCCGGAAGGGGAGUGAAAGAGAACUUGAAACCGUGUGCUUACAAGUAGUCAGAGCCCGUUAAUGGGUGAUGGCGUGCCUUUUGUAGAAUGAACCGGCGAGUUACGAUCUGAUGCAAGGUUAAGCAGAAAAUGUGGAGCCGUAGCGAAAGCGAGUCUGAAUAGGGCGAAUGAGUAUUUGGUCGUAGACCCGAAACCAGGUGAUCUACCCUUGGUCAGGUUGAAGUUCAGGUAACACUGAAUGGAGGACCGAACCGACUUACGUUGAAAAGUGAGCGGAUGAACUGAGGGUAGCGGAGAAAUUCCAAUCGAACUUGGAGAUAGCUGGUUCUCUCCGAAAUAGCUUUAGGGCUAGCCUCAAGUGAUGAUUAUUGGAGGUAGAGCACUGUUUGGACGAGGGGCCCCUCUCGGGUUACCGAAUUCAGACAAACUCCGAAUGCCAAAUAAUUUAACUUGGGAGUCAGAAUGUGGGUGAUAAGGUCCAUAUUCGAAAGGGAAACAGCCCAGACCACCAGCUAAGGUCCCAAAAUAUAUGUUAAGUGGAA